RNAcentral lists this transfer RNA (74 nucleotides) under Christensenella hongkongensis. RNAcentral's name for it is "Catabacter hongkongensis tRNA-Gly". It matches the Rfam family "tRNA". From Rfam's summary of the family: Transfer RNA (tRNA) molecules are approximately 80 nucleotides in length. Their secondary structure includes four short double-helical elements and three loops (D, anti-codon, and T loops). Further hydrogen bonds mediate the characteristic L-shaped molecular structure. tRNAs have two regions of fundamental functional importance: the anti-codon, which is responsible for specific mRNA codon recognition, and the 3' end, to which the tRNAs corresponding amino acid is attached (by aminoacyl-tRNA synthetases). tRNAs cope with the degeneracy of the genetic code in two manners: having more than one tRNA (with a specific anti-codon) for a particular amino acid; and 'wobble' base-pairing, i.e. permitting non-standard base-pairing at the 3rd anti-codon position. RNAcentral also lists the same sequence under 5 other names. Lineage: Bacteria; Bacillati; Bacillota; Clostridia; Christensenellales; Christensenellaceae. The record is from RNAcentral.
GCGGGUGUGGCUCAAUGGUAGAGCGUCGGCCUUCCAAGCCGAAUGCGUGGGUUCGAUUCCCAUCACCCGCUCCA